Molecule: non-coding RNA, 314 nt
Organism: Pelobates cultripes (western spadefoot toad)
Lineage: Eukaryota; Metazoa; Chordata; Amphibia; Anura; Pelobatidae
Source: the annotation of a GenBank genome assembly
CUGACAUCAUCAGAAGUGGUAGCCUGAUCCAAUCACAGUGCUUCCCCAUAGGAUUGCCUGAGACUAACAAAGAGGCAGAUCAGGGACAGAGCCAGCAUGAUUCAAACACAGCCCUGGCCAAUCAGUAUCUCCUCAUAGAGAUGACAUAAAUCAAUGAAUCUCUAUAAGGAACGUUCAGUGUCUGCAUGCAGAAGGAGGAGACACAGUGCUGCCCUGUGCUCUGCUGACAGCAAAUCUGAGUGGAUUGAGGAGUUUUAUGCCUCAAUCAACUGGGAAGUCCCUCUGGUGGCAUUCUGAGUGACUGCAACUGGAGG